This 497-nucleotide ribosomal RNA is filed under the name uncultured bacterium. RNAcentral's name for it is "partial 16S ribosomal RNA". It matches the Rfam family "Bacterial small subunit ribosomal RNA", at positions 28 to 507 of the family's 1533-position model. The record is from RNAcentral.
GAUGAACGCUGGCGGCGUGCCUAAUACAUGCAAGUCGAGCGAACAGAUAAGGAGCUUGCUCCUUUGACGUUAGCGGCGGACGGGUGAGUAACACGUGGGUAACCUACCUAUAAGACUGGGAUAACUUCGGGAAACCGGAGCUAAUACCGGAUAACAUUUGGAACCGCAUGGUUCUAAAGUGAAAGAUGGUUUUGCUAUCACUUAUAGAUGGACCCGCGCCGUAUUAGCUAGUUGGUAAGGUAACGGCUUACCAAGGCGACGAUACGUAGCCGACCUGAGAGGGUGAUCGGCCACACUGGAACUGAGACACGGUCCAGACUCCUACGGGAGGCAGCAGUAGGGAAUCUUCCGCAAUGGGCGAAAGCCUGACGGAGCAACGCCGCGUGAGUGAUGAAGGUUUUCGGAUCGUAAAACUCUGUUAGUAGGGAAGAACAAAUGUGUAAGUAACUGUGCACGUCUUGACGGUACCUAAUCAGAAAGCCACGGCUAACUACGUG